RNAcentral lists this long non-coding RNA (240 nucleotides) under Capsella rubella. RNAcentral's name for it is "long non-coding RNA (CRUB_LNC002750)". Lineage: Eukaryota; Viridiplantae; Streptophyta; Magnoliopsida; Brassicales; Brassicaceae. The record is from RNAcentral.
AGGUCUAUAUUAAGAAUCGUUUCCUAAAUUGUCACAAAGCUUGUUAAAUGUUUUGUAAUAGUGUUAUUCUUUUCAUUGUUUGUAUUUUACUUUUUUCCCUUUUUUCAUGCUGUAGAAGUAAUAUACACUAAGGCGAUAAAUAAAUGUAAUGUGUAUAUGCUAUUACUAAUAGAAAAUUAAGUUGUUUAAGUGAAUGUUGUUAUACUAAUGAAUUUUUUGUUUAUAAUAUUAUAUAUCAUC